Molecule: ribosomal RNA, 869 nt
Filed under: uncultured archaeon
Lineage: Archaea
Description: bacterial SSU rRNA
Rfam family: Archaeal small subunit ribosomal RNA
Source: RNAcentral
UUCCGGUUGAUCCCGCCGGACCUGACUGCUAUCGGAUUGGUACUAAGCCAUGCGAGUCAUUGUAGCAAUACAAGGCGGACGGCUCAGUAACACGUAGUCAACCUAACUCGUGGACGUGGAUAACCUCGGGAAACUGAGAAUAAACCACGAUAGAUCAUAGUGCCUGGAAUGGCUUAUGGUCCAAACAGUUUACUGCCAUGGGAUGGGACUGCGGCCUAUCAGCUUGUUGGUGAGGUAAUGGCCCACCAAGGCGAUUACAGGUACGGGCUCUGAGAGGAGAAGCCCGGAGAUGGGUACUGAGACACGGACCCAGGCCCUAUGGGGCGCAGCAGGCGAGAAACCUUAGCAAUGUGCGAAAGCACGACUGGGUCAGUCCGAGUGAUUCCUGAUAAAGGAGUCUUUUGCUUGUCCUAAAAGCACAGGUGAAUAAGGGGUGGGCAAGUCUGGUGUCAGCCGCCGCGGUAAUACCAGCACCUCGAGUGGUCAGGACGUUUAUUGGGCCUAAAGCAUCCGUAGCCGGCUCUGCAAGUCUUCGGUUAAAUCCACCUGCUCAACAGAUGGGCUGCUGGAGAUACUACAGAGCUAGGGAGUGGGAGAGGCAGACGGUAUUCAGUGGGUAGGGGUAAAAUCCUCUGAUCCAUUGAGGACCACCAGUGGCGAAGGCGGUCUGCCAGAACACGUUCGACGGUGAGGGAUGAAAGCUGGGGGAGCAAACCGGAUUAGAUACCCGGGUAGUCCCAGCUGUAAACGAUGCAAACUCGGUGAUGCAUUGGCUUAUGGCCAAUGCAGUGCCGCAGGGAAGCCGUUAAGUUUGCCGCCUGGGAAGUACGGACGCAAGUCUGAAACUUAAAGGAAUUGGCGGGGGAGCA